GCAGACAAUACAUGCCUGCAGGUCCUCUGAUGGACGUCACAGUCACUGCUGGGAAGUUAAAUGAAGUUCACCUGCCACACUGGAUCUGCAUCGAUGACAUCCCUGACAUAUUGGACACGUUUGCAGUCCUUCACAUAGAUGACUGUGGAGAUGUUGUGGAAAAAGUGUCUGAGCUGUUACACGUUGAUGUACUAUAAACCCAACACAUCAUUUCUUAAACUCCACGUCUAUCCAAUCCGACAGGAUCCUGCUCUGGAACAGGGAAUAGACAAGGAAGAAUCCUCAGAUGGAUACAAAAGAAUCAAGAAACCACAC
Maylandia zebra (zebra mbuna) is the source of this 315-nucleotide non-coding RNA. Lineage: Eukaryota; Metazoa; Chordata; Actinopteri; Cichliformes; Cichlidae. The record is from RefSeq and is a predicted model, not a curated record.